This is a long non-coding RNA of Oncorhynchus keta (chum salmon), 539 nucleotides long. RefSeq lists it as uncharacterized. The record is from RefSeq and is a predicted model, not a curated record. The transcript has 3 exons. Lineage: Eukaryota; Metazoa; Chordata; Actinopteri; Salmoniformes; Salmonidae.
CGUUUCCUGUCUCUCUGAGCCAGGUGUCCUGUAUGUUUAGUCAGGUCAACCAGUGUAUUUAUUCCUGUGUUUCCUGUCUCUCUGAGCCAGGUGUCCUGUACGUUUAGUCAGGUCAACCAGUGUAUUUAUUCCUGCGUUUCCUGUCUCUCUGCCCCAGUUUGUCUUGUAUGUUUAGUCAGGUCAACCAGUGUAUUUAUUCCUGCGUUUCCUGUCUCUCUGCCCCAGUUUGUCUUGUAUGUUUAGUCAGGUCAACCAGUGUAUUUAUUCCUGCGUUUCCUGUCUCUCUGCCCCAGUUUGUCUUGUAUGUUUAGUCAGGUCAACCAGUGUAUUUAUUCCUGCGUUUCCUGUCUCUCUGCGCCAGUUUGUCUUGUAUGUUUAGUCAGGUCAACCAGUGUAUUUAUUCCUGUGUUUCCUGUCUCUCUGCGCCAGUUUGUCUUGUAUGUUUAGUCAGGUCAACCAGUGUGUUUUUCCCGUACUCCUUUUCUAUUCUCUUUUUAAAGUCCUCCCGGUUCUGACCACUGCCUGACUCUGGACUACUC